UACGAAGGGGGCUAGCGUUGCUCGGAAUUACUGGGCGUAAAGCGCACGUAGGCGGUCUUUAAGUCGGGGUGAAAUCCUGGGAGCUCAACUCCAGAACUGCCUUCGAUACUGGAAGACUUGAGUCCGGGAGAGGUGAGUGGAACUGCGAGUGUAGAGGUGAAAUUCGUAGAUAUUCGCAAGAACACCAGUGGCGAAGGCGGCUCACUGGCCCGGUACUGACGCUGAGGUGCGAAAGCG
Molecule: ribosomal RNA, 237 nt
Filed under: uncultured bacterium
Lineage: Bacteria
Description: partial 16S ribosomal RNA
Rfam family: Bacterial small subunit ribosomal RNA
Source: RNAcentral